GGAGCCUACGGGCCACAAGUGAGCGAGCCAGACGGCCGAGAAAAGCUUCUAAGUGAUGAACUCCGGGUGACCGUACCGCAAACCGACACAGGUAGACGGGUAGAGGAUACCAAGGCGAACGGGAGAACCCUCGUUAAGGAACUAGGCAAAAUGGCCCCGUAACUUCGGGAGAAGGGGCGCCCCCUGCUGGGGGGCCGCAGUGAAAGGGCUCUGCCGACUGUUUAACAAAAGCACAGGUCUCUGCAAACGCGUAAGCGGACGUAUAGGGGCUGACGCCUGCCCAGUGCCGGAAGGUUAAGGGGACGGGUUAGCGCAAGCGAAGCUCGGAACCGAAGCCCCGGUGAACGGCGGCCGUAACUAUAACGGUCCUAAGGUAGCGAAAUUCCUUGUCGGGUAAGGUCCGACCCGCACGAAUGGCGUAACGAGCGGAGCACUGUCUCAACGAGGGGCCCGGCGAAAUUGAAAUACGUGUGAAGAUGCGCGUUACCCGCAGCAGGACAAAAAGACCCCGUGGAGCUUUACUACAACUUGCUAUGGCGUUAGGGCUUGGCUUGUGCAGGAUAGCUGGGAGGCAGAGAAGCUGGGACGACAGUCUCGGUGGAGCCAAAGGUGAGAUACCAGCCUGGCGAAGUCUUGGCCCUAACCGUACACCGUGAACCGGGUACGGGACAGUGGCAGGCGGGUAGUUUGACUGGGGCGGUCGCCUCCGAAAGGGUAACGGAGGCGCCCAAAGGUGCCCUCAGGGUGAAUGGAAACCACCCAAAGAGUGUAAAGGCAGAAGGGCGCUUGACUGCGAGGCCUACGAGCCGAGCAGAGCCGAAAGGCGGGCUUAGUGAUCCCACGGUACCGAGUGGAAGGGCCGUGGCUUACCGGAUAUAAGCUACCCCGGGGAUAACAGGCUGGUCUGGUCCAAGAGUUCACAUCGACGACCAGGCUCGGCACCUCGAUGUCGGCUCAUCGCAUCCUGGGGCUGGAUCAGGUCCCAAGGGUUGGGCUGUUCGCCCAUUAAAGCGGUACGUGAGCUGGGUUCAGACCGUCGUGAGACAGGUCGGUCUCUAUCCGCUGUGGGCGCAAGGAGGUUGAGGGGAGCUGCCCCUAGUACGAGAGGACCGGGGUGGACGCAGCGCUGGUGUGCCGGUUGUCACGCCCGUGGCAUAGCCGGGUAGCUACCUGCGGAACAGAGAACCGCUGAAAGCAUCUAAGCGGGAAGCUGACCUCAAGAUGAGCCUCCUCACCGGGAAACCGGGUAAGACCGCUGGGAGACGACCAGCUAGAUAGGCCGGGCGUGGAAGCGUCGCAAGGCGCGCAGCGAACCGGUACUAAGGGUCGAGGGCUUAUCCUG
This 1342-nucleotide ribosomal RNA is filed under the name metagenome. Its description in RNAcentral is "bacterial LSU rRNA". It matches the Rfam family "Bacterial large subunit ribosomal RNA", at positions 1572 to 2925 of the family's 2925-position model. The record is from RNAcentral.